GACGAACGCUGGCGGCGUGCUUAACACAUGCAAGUCGAACGGAAAGGCCCUGCUUUUGUGGGGUGCUCGAGUGGCGAACGGGUGAGUAACACGUGAGUAACCUGCCCUUGACUUUGGGAUAACUUCAGGAAACUGGGGCUAAUACCGGAUAGGAGCUCCUGCUGCAUGGUGGGGGUUGGAAAGUUUCGGUGGUUGGGGAUGGACUCGCGGCUUAUCAGCUUGUUGGUGGGGUAGUGGCUUACCAAGGCUUUGACGGGUAGCCGGCCUGGGAGGGUGACCGGCCACAUUGGGACUGAGAUACGGCCCAGACUCCUACGGGAGGCAGCAGUGGGGAAUAUUGCACAAUGGGCGGAAGCCUGAUGCAGCAACGCCGCGUGCGGGAUGACGGCCUUCGGGUUGUAAACCGCUUUCGCCUGUGACGAAGCGUGAGUGACGGUAAUGGGUAAAGAAGCACCGGCUAACUACGUG
This 468-nucleotide ribosomal RNA is filed under the name uncultured bacterium. RNAcentral's name for it is "partial 16S ribosomal RNA". It matches the Rfam family "Bacterial small subunit ribosomal RNA", at positions 28 to 507 of the family's 1533-position model. The record is from RNAcentral.